UGUAAGCGUAUACCAAAGUUGUUGCAGUUAAAACGCUCGUAGUCGGAAUUUGGCGGUUCCGGAUGUGUGCACGUCGUGUGCGCACUUCGCGGGGAUUGCUUUUGUGGUCUUGCGUAGGAUGAGGCACUUUUAUUAGUGAACGUCCUCACGCAACCACUUUUUACUGUGAGAAAAUCAGAGUGCUCAAAGCAGGCAUUUGCCGUGAAUGUAUUAGCAUGGAAUAAUAGAAUAGGACUUGGUUCUAUUUUGUUGGUUUGUUGGGACUGAGUAAUGAUUAAGAGGGACAGUUGGGGGCAUUUGUAUUCCGGCGCUAGAGGUGAAAUUCUUAGAUUGCCGGAAGACAAACUGCUGCGAAAGCGUCUGCCAAGGAUGUUUUCAUUGA
RNAcentral lists this ribosomal RNA (382 nucleotides) under uncultured eukaryote. Its description in RNAcentral is "partial 18S ribosomal RNA". It matches the Rfam family "Eukaryotic small subunit ribosomal RNA", at positions 592 to 976 of the family's 1831-position model. The record is from RNAcentral.